Molecule: long non-coding RNA, 137 nt
Organism: Etheostoma spectabile (orangethroat darter)
Lineage: Eukaryota; Metazoa; Chordata; Actinopteri; Perciformes; Percidae
Exons: 3
Source: RefSeq, a predicted model, not a curated record
ACAAGUUAACGGAGCCUUUUAUACAUCGUCGUGUUGCUUUAGAAAUAAACAACGGACAAAUGGAGUCUUUAAACGCAUCACAUGUGAAGUUAGUCACUGUCAAAGUGGUGCCAAAAUGAAUGGGAGUCAAUGGGAUG